Coffea arabica (coffee) is the source of this 1340-nucleotide non-coding RNA. NCBI's taxonomy places the organism in Eukaryota, Viridiplantae, Streptophyta, Magnoliopsida, Gentianales, Rubiaceae. The record is from RefSeq and is a predicted model, not a curated record.
AAACUUCACAUAUAUUCUUUAGUUUCUGGAGCUAUGGAUCAAAUGGACUGAAAUCUUAAAGAGGAUGAAGCACGUUUCCUCACAGUGUUGAUCUCAGUCGUAUGAUUAUGUUUUUACAUAUAACUUGAGAAAAAGAAAUUGAUGUGGUUUUUUGCCAUAAUAUGUUAUAAACAGACUUAAAGUUUCACUUUACUGGAAGUUUCUUAUAGUUGCUUUAGUACUUUCCAUUUCUUCGUGGUGUUGUCCAUGGUUUUGAUACUGUUUUGGAGGGCAUCUGAAGGUGCAGCAUAAUUUAUGCUAUCAACGUCUUUGUCAUGAUCUGUUCGGAGAGUAGCAUAGAAAUGUAGAACCUUGCACGCAAACAGGGAGAGAGUCCACCUCCUCUUCCCACCCAUCCCAAAAAAGGACAGCCUCAUUGAAUCGGGUGCACACUCCUUCCUUUGCCUUCUCUCUCUCUUCCUUGCUCUUAAUUUCAAUCCUUGCUCUCUUCUAAUUACCACUUUCUUUCCUGCUCUUCUAAUUACCGGACCAAUUUCUCCCCUUCGCUUGCUUACACCUUGCAGCACAACUCAGGAAUCAAGUUAAUUCUUGAAAAAUUGAAACUUGCGGAAGAAAGGCAAAUGGAAGGAAGGGACUCACUUUGGUAUCUCUGAACAGCUAUUCCACUUUGGAUUGGGCAAGGAUGAAUGGACAGUUGAUAAAAGCCAUUUCUCCACGAGUUAUGGAAACAUAUUGAUAUGCAGCAUUACGGUAUCUAGGUACUCCUAAGAACGCUUUUCAUGUCCCAUAUGCAGUUUUGUGCUCUUGAUCUCAUUUUAUUAUGGCCCAACCUGCAAUUCUAUUUUGUUUUAAAAUUGAGUCAACAUAGUCCAGUUAUAGUGUAAAUGAGAGCCAUUUUGGGGCUGUUUUAUUACCAUUUCAAUGAGAUAGUGGAGUUAGUCUUGAGUUGGUAGGAGCUAUUGGAUAUCCUUGCCUUUCAAUGUUGGACAUUGAUUUUGUUUGUUAAGUCCGUUAAAACUUAAAACAGAGCAUCAAGCUCUCCUGCUUAUAGCAAUUCCUUACUUAUUUUAGUGCCUCUGUUUUCCAUCUUCUACAGCCUUCUAUCUUGUUUCUUUGAGGAGACUACCGAUGUAUUUCUUUCCAAGAAAACAUGCAACUCUAAACUCUCUUUCCUGCAGCAAAAGAAAAAGACAACUUAGAUAUCUAGAGAAAAGAUUAUUAUUGGGAAUUGAGAAGUUUACCACCCUCUGCUGCAAUCUCCUCUCUGAGAUAUCGGUGAAUAUCUACAUUCCUCUCUCAUCCCUCUUGAAUAUGCUGGAAUAUAGCAAACCAUUUAGGUU